RNAcentral lists this ribosomal RNA (888 nucleotides) under uncultured organism. Its description in RNAcentral is "bacterial SSU rRNA". It matches the Rfam family "Bacterial small subunit ribosomal RNA", at positions 11 to 942 of the family's 1533-position model. The record is from RNAcentral.
GUUGAUCCUGGCUCAGGAUGAACGCUGGCGGUCUGCUUAACACAUGCAAGUCGAACGCAACCUUCGGGUUGAGUGGCGGACGGGUGAGUAACGCGUGAGAAUCUGCCUUGGGGUCGGGGACAACCACUGGAAACGGUGGCUAAUACCGGAUAAGCCUUUGGGUAAAAGAUUUAUUGCCCCAAGAGGAGCUCGCGUCUGAUUAGCUAGUUGGUGAGGUAAAAGCUCACCAAGGCAGCGAUCAGUAGCUGGUCUGAGAGGACGAUCAGCCACACUGGGACUGAGACACGGCCCAGACUCCUACGGGAGGCAGCAGUGGGGAAUUUUCCGCAAUGGGCGAAAGCCUGACGGAGCAAGACCGCGUGAGGGAGGAAGGCUCUUGGGUUGUAAACCUCUUUUCUCAGGGAAGAAGCUCUGACGGUACCUGAGGAAUCAGCCUCGGCUAACUCCGUGCCAGCAGCCGCGGUAAUACGGAGGAGGCAAGCGUUAUCCGGAAUUAUUGGGCGUAAAGCGUCCGCAGGUGGCGAUUCAAGUCUGCUGUCAAAGCACGGGGCUUAACUCCGUUAAGGCAGUGGAAACUGAAUAGCUAGAGUGCCGUAGGGGUAGAGGGAAUUCCCGGUGUAGCGGUGAAAUGCGUAGAGAUCGGGAAGAACAUCGGUGGCGAAAGCGCUCUACUGGACGGCAACUGACACUCAGGGACGAAAGCUAGGGGAGCGAAUGGGAUUAGAUACCCCAGUAGUCCUAGCUGUAAACGAUGGAUACUAGGUGUAGCUUGUAUCGACCCGAGCUGUGCCGAAGCUAACGCGUUAAGUAUCCCGNCUUGGGGAGUACGCACGCAAGUGUGAGAACUCAAGGAAUUGACUGGGGGCCCGCACAAGCGGUGGAGUAUGU